RNAcentral lists this ribosomal RNA (575 nucleotides) under Hanseniaspora uvarum. RNAcentral's name for it is "partial large subunit ribosomal RNA". It matches the Rfam family "Eukaryotic large subunit ribosomal RNA", at positions 51 to 640 of the family's 3401-position model. The record is from RNAcentral. Lineage: Eukaryota; Fungi; Ascomycota; Saccharomycetes; Saccharomycodales; Saccharomycodaceae.
CGGAGGAAAAGAAACCAACUGGGAUUACCUUAGUAACGGCGAGUGAAGCGGUAAAAGCUCAAAUUUGAAAUCUGGUACUUUCAGUGCCCGAGUUGUAAUUUGUAGAAUUUGUCUUUGAUUAGGUCCUUGUCUAUGUUCCUUGGAACAGGACGUCAUAGAGGGUGAGAAUCCCGUUUGGCGAGGAUACCUUUUCUCUGUAAGACUUUUUCGAAGAGUCGAGUUGUUUGGGAAUGCAGCUCAAAGUGGGUGGUAAAUUCCAUCUAAAGCUAAAUAUUGGCGAGAGACCGAUAGCGAACAAGUACAGUGAUGGAAAGAUGAAAAGAACUUUGAAAAGAGAGUGAAAAAGUACGUGAAAUUGUUGAAAGGGAAGGGCAUUUGAUCAGACAUGGUGUUUUUUGCAUGCACUCGCCUCUCGUGGGCUUGGGCCUCUCAAAAAUUUCACUGGGCCAACAUCAAUUCUGGCAGCAGGAUAAAUCAUUAAGAAUGUAGCUACUUCGGUAGUGUUAUAGCUUUUUGGAAUACUGUUAGCCGGGAUUGAGGACUGCGCUUCGGCAAGGAUGUUGGCAUAAUGGUUA